CAAAUACAAAUGGGGGACAUUGAGCCUAAAUCUCUGGUUACAAUUAGCAUUUAGAGAACAUUCCGAAAUGAUAUCAGGAGUCUUUACAAAAUACAUGUAUUCUAAAUUUCUAACAAUCACUAAUUAGCAAAUAGUGCUCUACAGACUACUCCAUUUGCUUUGAAAUAACAGUGACAUAUCGGAAAGAUAACUCAAUUACAAUGAAGCAUAAUUACCAAAAUCACAGGUUUCCUACUAUGUUGCCGCCGGAGAAUAAAUCCGACGACCCACUUGGUUUCAUCCUGUCACUAGGAGGUUGCGACCAUUUAACUAUGAAUCGUCGCCUCGCUAGGCCAGAUAAGGCACUUAGAGUGCACACACAGACACAAGGCCCGACUAGCCCUACAGAACCUAUGCUUGAGGGACUUAUUACUCGCCUAAGGCGCAAUUGAACUAAAAAAUAAAAAUAAAUAGCAACAACUAGAAAAAUAAAAUUAGGCCAAACUGGGCCUAAUCUGCAAAGACCAAACCCAUCACCGUGGUAUCACCAGUGCAGUCGCACAUCCUCCAGACCACCACCGCCCCUGGCAGUUGACCUCUGUCGUGUCGCCACCGUCGCCCCACCCAUGAUCUCUGCUCCUCAACCCAUAACUUGCAUCUGGAUUGCACGCUCAAGUGCUCAACCACCUAUCGAACAACGAAGGCCAUAAGCCCGCCUUUCCAUCUCCGCCACAGCACCCAGCGCCAGCAAUCUCAUGCAGAUCCGCCCACCCUCCAUCACCAAACCAACCAAAUCGGAACCUGCGACCCAAACUAGAUCAACCAAAACCAUCUGCCAAACAAACCACCACCACUUGCCGAUAGUUGCUACUAUUGCCCCUGCCCCCAGCCAUCUAACCGAAACUAUGCUUACACGUCGAAGAUGGACGGCAAGAUAGGAGGUCACCCGUCCGACAACAACGCCGCAAGGACGUGCCGCCGGACGAGCCCAAGAAAAUUUUCGAGAAAACCCUAGGCGCGUGCGGCGCGUUCUAGGAAAUUUAUUGUUAGACUAAAAUUUAUUUUUCCUCAUAUUUCUUUUUAUAUGAAAUUUUCUCUAUGGUUCAAUUGUUAGCUAAUUAAAUUGUUGGUUUUUAAGGUAUUCAAAGGUCUUUGGUAUUUCUUUUCUAUCCAACGGAUGAUAUAUUGCUGGCAGUCUGCUUGCCACACGCUAAGUGAUCAUAAUGACUGUAAACCUAGUGCGUUCGAGUGUCACAGUCAACCUACUAUCAAAAGCAGAACAUUGGCAUAUGAUUUGUGUCCGAUAAACCCACAAAAUACAACACUCUUUGAUUUCGGUAUAUUCAUUGAUGUCCUUCAACCUAGAAUUGCUGGAUCAACAGAUUAUCCACAAAAGUUAACAAAUUGUUUGUUGUGGGCCCUGCGAAAUCUGAGUUCAUUUGGUUCAAACCUCCAGCCUAGUAUCAAUACAUGGGAAAAUAUUUUUGCAACUUCUAUUUCUAUCAUUGGCUUGCUCCUAUUCUUAUAUCUCAUUGGAAAAUUACAGAUAUAUAUGGGAUCGGAAACAUCAAGCAAAGAGGAAGAAAGAUGGAAGAAAAAAUUUCAAAAGAUGAGGAGCAUUAAACUAACGGUUAAAUUAGUAAGAAAAGAAAAAAGAACGCGCCUCACGCGCGAGAAAGAAGAGGAAAGUGUGAGCUCGAUCUCUCCCGGCCGAACGCCGGCGGUGCUCUUGCCGCUGCGUUUCCGGUCCGGGAGAGGAUGUUGGUUUGGGAGUUCAGUGGGGCUAAGGAGUUGAAGGGCGGUCCAGGGUGGGAGGAGGCUGUUUCGAUCUGGGUUCAGGUGGAGCUGGGUUCGAUCUGGGUUUGGGGUUGGACGGGGGUCUGCAGGUGCGAUUCCGUGUUGUUUCUGGGGCAGUUGGAGUGGCUCUGGGACACGGAUGGCCGGCAGCGAACCGUGGAGGCUCUGCGGCAACUGGGGGCUGGGGGACGGUCGCUGAGAUCUCGAUCUGGUCGGUUCUGGAUCGGGUUUCGGGCACCAAUCAGGUUGAAGAAGGGCCUGCACAGUGUCGUGGUGAUGCGGCGGUGCAGGGUUGCUGUGCGGCGGCGUCGUGCUACUUGGGGGCGGUCUGGUGCCGGCGUUGGCAGAUCGAUGCUUGCUUGGUGGGCGUCUGCUUUGGGCCUAUGGGAGAGAUGGUGGAUGGGCCGGGCUUCGGCUGUUUGGCUUUGCUGCUGUUUUUUAUUUUAUACUUGUUUGUUUGUUCUUCUUUCAGUUGUUGCUUUGUCGGUAAUAACCUCCAACCGUGUUCCGGUAGGAGGCAGUGGCCUGUGUGCCAGUCUUUGCACCUUGUGUGCCUACUUUGCUCUAGGUAGGCGGCGAGUUCCUUGCACUUGCAAAUGGUCGCUGCCUCUUAGUAGCAGAGGGAAUUUAAGUGUCACUGGAUGUAGUGUCCGAUGGCAUCAUAAUUGGAAAGCUGUGUA
Rosa rugosa (rugosa rose) is the source of this 2456-nucleotide long non-coding RNA. RefSeq lists it as uncharacterized. The transcript is spliced from 3 exons. The record is from RefSeq and is a predicted model, not a curated record. Lineage: Eukaryota; Viridiplantae; Streptophyta; Magnoliopsida; Rosales; Rosaceae.